UACGUAGGUGGCAAGCGUUGUCCGGAGUUAUUGGGCGUAAAGCGCGCGCAGGCGGUGCGGUAAGUCUCUGGUGAAAGCGCUCGGCUUAACUGGGCGAGGGCCGGGGAGACUGCCACGCUGGAGGGGAGCAAAGGCGAGUGGAAUUCCGGGUGUAGUGGUGAAAUGCGUAGAGAUCCGGAGGAACACCAGUGGCGAAGGCGGCUCGCUGGGCUCUACCUGACGCUGAGGCGCGAAAGCGUGGGGAGCGAACCGG
This 253-nucleotide ribosomal RNA is filed under the name uncultured bacterium. Its description in RNAcentral is "partial 16S ribosomal RNA". It matches the Rfam family "Bacterial small subunit ribosomal RNA", at positions 524 to 776 of the family's 1533-position model. The record is from RNAcentral.